CAGUUUCAACGUUCCCACUUUGAGGGGACUCAGAAUCUUUACCACGGACAACAUUUGCCCUAGAGGGCAAAGGAAUAUCAUUUGGCCAAAACGGGGUAGCUACCAGCCCAGACUGACAUCAGCCUAUGGACAGCUGCCCGUGUGGGCCAACAGUAGCACACGUGGCCUCUGGGGCCAACUCCCUGUCAGCCAGGCUGGCUCAGACUUGAUGCUUAUCAGCCUGCUAAGGGUUUGAGAGGACACUCUUGGAAACAUUGCUCCAACUUAAGAGACACGGAACUAGGAAAAAAAAAUCCUUUAUCUAUGGAGCACCUUGAAAUAAUAACUAUAGAAAAUGGCUGUAAGACUGACAUAUGAUCCCCGGAGUUGCAAGAAAAUAACAGCUUAUGGAGCUCCCUGCAUGGGCCAGGCAUAAGCCAAAGGCGGUCUUUAUGCAUGCCACCUCCUGAAUCAUCCUAGAAGCUCUCUAGAAGCAGAGACUACUAUCAUUCCUGUCUUAUAGAGGAAGACACCAAGAGUCAGAUAGGGGAAGUCCAACCAGCAAACCCUUCUGUUGGAGAUGUGGCAACAUGUGGCAAAAGCCUUGAACCAACACCCACUCUUAGCACCACCAAAUCCACUUCUGGGUUUUUAUCUGAAGGCAAUUACCAAGGAUACACAGUCAGCACUGUUUUUAUAGCAAAACCCUGGAAAUAACUGAAGAGCCUGACAAUGGAUAGAGCCAUACAAUGGAAUUCCAUGGAAGCUAUGGAAAAUGAAGGCAUACCCUAUAUUUACGCAUAAAGAUAUAAAGACUUGUCUAAGAUAUUUUCUGUACCAAAUCAAUAUUUGCAUGCAUAUAUAGAGAAAAAAGUCUAGAAGGAUACACUAAAAGACUUAAUAUUAUCUCUAGACUAAGAAUAUACAAGACGAUUCAUAUCAUCUCUCUAGAAGGGAAAAUUAAAUGUGAUUUCUUAUUUUUCUCUUUUGCUUAUUGCUAUUACCUAAAACGGGUUGCUAAACGACAGUCUGAAGGCCACAUCUGGCCCAUUGCUUACUUUUGCAAAUAAAGUUUUACUGGAACAUGGCCACACACGUUUGUUUACGUAUUCCUAUAGCUGCUUUCAGGCUACAACGGCAGAGUCAAAUAACUGUGACAGAGACCAUAAGGCCCACAGGUGGAAAAUAUUUGCCAUCUGGCCUUUUAUAGAAAAAGCUGGCUGACUCCUGAUAUAAAAUGAUCAUAUAUACAUUAGACAUGUAUUUAAAAUAUACUUCAGCUGUGCUCCAAAGGAAAUAUUUAUCUUCCAAAUCCAAAUUUCAGCAAAAUUCAUUCAUUCAUUCAUCUAAACUAUAAAGGUCAGUCAACACUAUUUGCUAAGUGUUUACUACGUUCCAAGCAUUGUUUUAGGCACAAUACCCACAUAAGGUUUCUGCCCUCAAGGUCUCCUGAAUGAAUCAAUGCUGGUAUCAGAGGCAACUGCAAAUGUACAGCAGCACGCAGAGAUGGCUUAGGGUGGCCAGGAGGCCAGGAAGCUAAAGGUAUUGAGGCUAGGCAAGGCCCCAACAUCCAGCCUGAC
RNAcentral lists this long non-coding RNA (1559 nucleotides) under Homo sapiens (human). RNAcentral's name for it is "HSALNT0055092". Lineage: Eukaryota; Metazoa; Chordata; Mammalia; Primates; Hominidae. The record is from RNAcentral.